AGGACGAACGCUGGCGGCGUGCCUAAUACAUGCAAGUCGGACGGUCUUUCUAUGGAAGCUUGCUUCCACUGAGAAGAUAGUGGCGAACGGGUGAGUAACAACGUGGGUAACCUGCCCAUAAGAGGGGGGAUAACAUCCGGAAACGGGUGCUAAUACCGCAUAGUUUUCUUGAUCGCAUGAUCGGGAAAGGAAAGACGGCCUUUGUGCUGUCGCUUAUGGAUGGACCCGCGGCGUAUUAGUUAGUUGGUGAGGUAACGGCUCACCAAGACGAUGAUACGUAGCCGACCUGAGAGGGUGAUCGGCCACAUUGGGACUGAGACACGGCCCAAACUCCUACGGGAGGCAGCAGUAGGGAAUCUUCCGCAAUGGACGAAAGUCUGACGGAGCAACGCCGCGUGAGUGAAGAAAGGUUUUCGGAUCGUAAAACUCUGUUGUCAGAGAAGAACAAGUUGGAGAGUAACUGCUCCAGCCUUGACGGUAUCUGACCAGAAAGCCACGGCUAACUACGUGCCAGCAGCGGC
RNAcentral lists this ribosomal RNA (521 nucleotides) under uncultured bacterium. Its description in RNAcentral is "bacterial SSU rRNA". It matches the Rfam family "Bacterial small subunit ribosomal RNA", at positions 26 to 518 of the family's 1533-position model. The record is from RNAcentral.